GGGUGGGGGGUGGUGGCGGCGGCUGAGGAGCGAGGGGUGGGGCCCAGAGGCCGGGGCAGAGGGCCGGACGCCGAGAAGGGGCCACCCCCGGGAAGGAGUGCGAGGCGCGGAAGGGCGACCAGGGAGCGUGGCCCUGCAGCGAGGGGCCGCCAGGAGUGGUGUCCUGAGGCAGAGGAAGGAGAGUUGGGGGAGCCGGGGGCUGGAGAUUCGCAGGAAGGAGCAGCCCUGAGGGGGUGGGGGGCUGUGAGGCGCGCGGGUGGGGAGGGUCGGGCGGGGUCUUCCUCCGGGGAGUUAACGAGGACUGGGCCCCCAGCGCCUGCCGGCGGGGCUCGGGGUCCCCCCGCCCCCCCGCUAGGGAGAAGACCUUGGUCGGAAGCUUGCUGUCACUCAUGCUCCCCAGGCUCGGGGGACCCCUGUGUGUAACCGCAGAUCUUGAACUCCUGCCACAUGAAAGUCAGUUCUGGGCUUUUGAGCUUGCUUCCAGGCCUCCCGCCCCGCCCUCAGGAAAUUGGGGUUUUCCUAAAGAGGAGGGAAACUUGGUGACCUCUGAAUUCCUGCCGCCCGCUCCAGCACCCCAGUAGGGCUCGGCCCCUGAACUCCAGCUUACCUGUGACUGUGUGAGCGCUGAAGUGGAAUAUGCCCUGGGCAGCCUCUCCUGCCGCCAGGCUGGCCCCAGCUGUCAGACCCACUGUUGAUUUCCCUGUAUUUGUUCAUCUUCCCCUUCAGAGAGUCUGCCUGUCCCUGCUGACCUUUACCCUACAAAAGGAAACGCCUCUUCUGACUGAUUCCCGAGAUUGGUGCUGUCUUCCUAUAAUAGAUUUUCUAAUUCUCCAA
Molecule: non-coding RNA, 834 nt
Organism: Oryctolagus cuniculus (rabbit)
Lineage: Eukaryota; Metazoa; Chordata; Mammalia; Lagomorpha; Leporidae
Source: RefSeq, a predicted model, not a curated record